Molecule: ribosomal RNA, 873 nt
Filed under: Triticum aestivum (bread wheat)
Lineage: Eukaryota; Viridiplantae; Streptophyta; Magnoliopsida; Poales; Poaceae
Description: partial small subunit ribosomal RNA
Source: RNAcentral
AUGGCCGGCGCGGGCUCGUCGGACGCGGAGGCGGAGCUGCGGCGGGGCUUCAAGGCCCUGGCAGUGACGCGGCCGGACCCGGCGGGCGCGGUCUACGAGGUGCGCCUCAGCCGCCCGGCGCAGCUCAACGCGCUCAGCCCGGACUCCUUCGCGGAGAUCCCGCGCGCCAUGGCGCUGCUCGACCGCAUCCCCGCCGCGCGCGCCGUCGUGCUGUCCGCCGCGGGCCCCCACUUCUGCGCGGGCAUCGAGCUCGGCGGGCCCGGGAACCCGCUCACUGCGCCCCCCGCCCGCGGCGCCGACCCCACGGCCAUGGCCGAGGGGCUCCGCCGCGCGAUCCUGGGCAUGCAGGCCGCGCUCACCGCCGUCGAGCUGUGCCGGAAGCCCGUCAUCGCGGCCGUGCACGGCGCCUGCGUCGGCGGCGGCGUCGAACUGGUGGCCGCCUGCGACAUACGCUACUGCUCCAGGGACGCCACCUUCGUGCUCAAGGAGGUGGACAUGGCCAUCGUCGCCGACCUCGGCGCGCUGCAGCGCCUGCCGCGGAUCGUCGGCUACGGGAACGCCGCUGACCUCGCCCUCACCGGCCGCAGGAUCACCGCCGCGGAGGCCAAGGAGAUGGGGCUCGUCAGCAGGGUGUUCGAUUCAAAGCAGGAGCUGGAUGCCGGUGUUGCGAAGAUAGCCAAGGAAAUAUCAGAGAAGUCAGCAAAUGCAGUAUUGGGAACGAAGGCCGUUCUGCUGAGAAGCAGAGAUAUAACAGUAGAGCAGGGCCUGGAGCAUGUCGCGACUUGGAACUCAGGAAUGCUGAGAUCUAAUGACCUGUUGGAGGCCAUCAAAGCUUUCAUGGAGAAGCGGAAGCCUGUUUUCUCUAAGCUCUGA